Oryctolagus cuniculus (rabbit) is the source of this 1945-nucleotide non-coding RNA. NCBI's taxonomy places the organism in Eukaryota, Metazoa, Chordata, Mammalia, Lagomorpha, Leporidae. The record is from RefSeq and is a predicted model, not a curated record.
AGCAAAGCCAGGAUGCACUGAGGACAAUUUUCUAGAAAAAAGUCAAAAGAAGUUGUUAGGAAAGGGAACUGAUCUUUCACAUAGCAGUAUUGCCUUAUUGAUGCUUCAUAAUUACAGAUUAUGUUACCUGCGGCAAAUAUUCAGAUAGUCUGGAGAAAAAAAAAAAGAAAAGAAAGGAAGAUAGUGAUUACUUUUAAUUUCAGUUCAGAGUUCUCAAUCCUUGUCAGGGUUACUUUAUGUGAAUCUUUUUAUUCAAGUGAUUUCAAUUCCCUGCUUCAGUCACACGUAUUUUGGAAUAGAAAAAAAACAGCAGUCAUCUGUUCUCACCAGUUUUCUGUUUGUCGUCCCCCAACCCCCGCCCCAGGAACUUGCUCAACACUACAGAUGGUCACAGUCUCAGCCUGCGGUCUUCAUUUCUCUGCUCUCAUUGUUCCAGCUGUUCCUUUCUAGGAGUGCAGCAUAUCUCAGAAGUAAGUGCUAUAGAGACCUGUUUUACCAUCUGCAAUACAUAAAGGUUUAUUUAUGUCGUGCUCGUAAGUGUGUUGUUUUACUAAGCAUCUCCCUUGUAAAUUUUACACUCCUCUGGGAGAAGUAGUUUCCUUGUCUGUAGUUAAUGUACUGUACACAGUAACCUCCCAUCCACGGAAGCAGAUCACACUAAUGAGUGAUCAUCGUGGUGCAGGUAGAUCAUUCAGAUAAAUGCAACACAGAACUGAAACUGUCGGAAAUGCUUGAAUUCUCUCCAUAAUGUGUGUGAUUCACUGUCCUGUUGUUCAUUUCCCUGAGGAUAAACAAUGUUAAAUACCCUCCUUGUAUGUAUUUUGAACCGGGAGAAUGUCCCUAAACUAUCCGUUAUGGCUUGAAUUUUGUCUUUCAAAAUUCCUCUGUGAAAUCCUACAUUCAAGUAUUCAUGUAUGACCUUACUUUGAAAUAAGGUCUUUGCAGAUAUAAUUAUUUAAGCUAGAAUGAGGUCCUACUCAAGUAACAUAAGCCCCUAAUUAAGAACGACUGACAUCCUUAUGAAAACGUGGGGACAUUUGUAUAAAGUGAGGCACACGGGGUGCAGGCCAAGGAAACAGACUUAAAGCAAGGAUGGCCGUCCACAAACCAGCGGUAGGAACCUGGAACACUUCCUUCCCUGACCGUCCUUGGAGGAAUUCACUCUACAGACAUCUGAUUUCAGACUUCUAGAUUCCAGAACCCUGAGACAACAAACUUCUGUUGUUGUAAGCUACCCAACUUGUGGCACUUUGUAAAAAUCACCCUAACAGUCAUGAAUCAUCAGUACAAGAAGCAUCUGGCUCUUCACUACUCUGUCUAUGGUCACUAAUCCUAUUGAUGUACUGUUAUCUGCUUCUUCUCAGGGUUGCACCAUGGUGUCUGAUAUUCAUUUGAAUUUGCAAGGACAAAAUCAACAGAGCUGCUGGUUAAUUGUGAAACUCCACACAGCAUGUCUUCUAAGUUGAGGGUGUCGAAAAGGCAAAUACCUUCAUCACGAGUUGGAUUUGAACACAAAUGUGUAUACAUCUUUCCUUUGCUGCAAGACUGUUGAAUAGACACUCACAAACAUUUGGUGUGUCUGUACUUUUCUUCUCUGUAAAAAUAAAAGCCUCAAGUAAGAUGAUGAAGCAAACUUGAAGGGAUUAAUCAGCCUAAAACAUAAGCUGUUCAUCCAUUAAAUGAGAUAAGACACAGCCAUGUUAGUUUUUUAACCUGAAAUAAGAAUUAAAAGACGAUCUUAGGAAAAAUGCAGAAUAUCAAAAUGAAAUGAUUGGCCCUCUGCCAUAACUCAUGUGGGGAAAAAAAAUCCCUUCAGUCAGAUUCUCUCAGAAACCCAAGGAAAGGGGCAAAGAUAAGGGUUAAGGUGUGACUCUACUUAGCACAAGAACUGAGAAAAUGAAAGGCAUAGCCUCUCCUGAUGGACAUUCAAAAAAAAAAAAAAGAA